GUUAGGCUUAAUCGAGUUAAGGGGUCUUUAGGCACUAAAAGAAGGCGCUGGAACUGCUGUCUCGUUUACUCGCCGAUUUAGUUUAAAAAGAGAAUCAUUCUGAGGCUCUAUCACAUGAUACUAGUAGUUCUUCUGCUAUGCUCAAUACUUCAGGUAUGGGUGAUGGGGACGAAGAGCAGCCAUUUUGUGCAUAGAUAUAGGAUCGGCUGUUGGGAAACAUACAUUAGUGUUAGUGUGGUAUGGUUGACCGAAGGAUGGUCAGUUACAGACAGGUAUUCUUUGUUAGUAUUAUUAUUAUUAUUACUAUUAUUAUCAACAUCAUCAAAACUAUUCAUAAUUUUAGAUUGUCAUGUGAUUUGUGCUGAAUUUCGAUUCAAUCCCAGUUGUGAGUCCUGUAAUCGUAACUCAAGUUUAUUAGUUACUAGAUACAGAAGCUCGUACUAGCAUUUUUCUUGUACUGGUAUAUUACCAUCACAGUACUGCUAUAUUUUUGUCGGCAUCACUGGGCACAGUUGGGAAGAGGUACACAGAUACAGGAGGCUCCUCACCAUCCCAAUAUCUAUUCAACCCUAUAUACAUAAUGUUUAUAUUUUUAAAAAUUUAGAAUAAUAUUUUUGUAUUUACUUCUUCCAGUAGAUCGUUGAAUGUUACAACUGCUACCAGUACUAGGAUCUGAAUGAGGACCAUGUUGGGGUCUUUUGCUGGAACCACUUAUACUUGAUGAUGGUGGCUGAUAUAUGGUAGUCGGCAGGGUUGUCUGGUCCCAGCGGUGGCGGUUCUUGGGCUGGUUUUCUGUGUAGUAGUGAGGGCUAUUCCCUUGCCACUAUCACUUAUUACCUGCCUGACAGCAUCAUUGACCGUGUUUCUUAGGCUGUUGGCAGAUUUUUUAGAAUAUAC
Long non-coding RNA from Amphimedon queenslandica, 897 nucleotides. RefSeq lists it as uncharacterized. The record is from RefSeq and is a predicted model, not a curated record. Lineage: Eukaryota; Metazoa; Porifera; Demospongiae; Haplosclerida; Niphatidae. The transcript has 3 exons.